Molecule: unclassified non-coding RNA, 264 nt
Filed under: Hevea brasiliensis (rubber tree)
Lineage: Eukaryota; Viridiplantae; Streptophyta; Magnoliopsida; Malpighiales; Euphorbiaceae
Source: RNAcentral
UUCCAUGAAGUAAGACGUGUACUUUUUUUUGGUGAUUUUGUUGAAUCCAAGCUUAGCACCAGGACCAGGGAGCCAUAUAUGAGUUGGAUGAUCAAAACUCUGCCACAGCAGUGGGUCUGAUGAACUAGGCCCAUCUCUCAAAACAAGAUUUCCUUCAUCGAGAAGUACUGCUUCCAAAGAGCUUGAAUUUGUAGAGGUCAAAUUUGUUGACCAUAUCAUAAUACCGGAUUCAUUAAAGAGAACUAAAUUACCAUUUGAUAUUCU